This 254-nucleotide ribosomal RNA is filed under the name uncultured bacterium. RNAcentral's name for it is "partial 16S ribosomal RNA". It matches the Rfam family "Bacterial small subunit ribosomal RNA", at positions 524 to 776 of the family's 1533-position model. The record is from RNAcentral.
CACGUAGGGAGCAAGCGUUGUCCGGAUUUAUUGGGCGUAAAGAGCUCGUAGGUGGUUCGGUAAGUCAGGUGUGAAACCUCCAGGCUCAACCUGGAGACGCCACUUGAUACUGCUGUGACUGGAGUCCGGUAGGGGAGCGUGGAAUUCCUGGUGUAGCGGUGAAAUGCGCAGAUAUCAGGAGGAACACCUGCGGCGAAGGCGGCGCUCUGGGCCGGUACUGACACUGAGGAGCGAAAGCGUGGGUAGCAAACAGG